AAGGUUUGUCAGGCAAUCGCUCAAACGGGCAACCGAUUGAGAGGAAAGUCCGAACUCCAAAGAGAAAAGUGCUGGAUAACUUCCAGGAAGUGAAAGCUUACGGAUAGUGUCACAGAAAAUAUACCGUCUCGAUUGUAAAAUCGAGGUAAGGGUGAAAAGGUGCGGUAAGAGCGCACCGGUUGUGCAGUGAUGUGCAAUGCUCGAUAAACCCCACUUGGAGCAAGACCAUGUAAAUCCUGUUUGUUGGAAACAACAGAAGAGCUUCUCGCUCAACUAUCGAAAGAUAAACUUGAUGGGUAGGUCGCUGGAGCGUUUCAGUAAUGAAGCGCCAAGAGAAAUGAUUGCCUCUCUGCUUUUGCAGAUAGACAGAAUUCGGCUUAUCGAUAAACCUUCCAU
This 396-nucleotide RNase P RNA is filed under the name Bacteroidota bacterium. RNAcentral describes it as "Bacteroidetes bacterium RNase P RNA component class A". It matches the Rfam family "Bacterial RNase P class A". Rfam says of the family: Ribonuclease P (RNase P) is a ubiquitous endoribonuclease, found in archaea, bacteria and eukarya as well as chloroplasts and mitochondria. Its best characterised activity is the generation of mature 5'-ends of tRNAs by cleaving the 5'-leader elements of precursor-tRNAs. RNAcentral also lists the same sequence under 1 other name. The record is from RNAcentral. Lineage: Bacteria; Pseudomonadati; Bacteroidota.